GACGUAGGAUGCAAGCGUUGUCCGGAAUCAUUGGGCGUAAAGCGUUCGUAGGCGGCAUGUCAAGUCUGGUGUCAAAUCCCGGGGCUCAACUCCGGACCGGCACUGGAUACUGGCAAGCUAGAGUGCAGUAGGGGCAAGGGGAAUUCCAGGUGUAGCGGUGAAAUGCGUAGAUAUCGGGAGGAACACCAGUGGCGAAAGCGCCUUGCUGGGCUGUAACUGACGCUGAGGAAAGAAAGCCAGGGGAGCAAAUGGG
This 253-nucleotide ribosomal RNA is filed under the name uncultured bacterium. RNAcentral describes it as "partial 16S ribosomal RNA". It matches the Rfam family "Bacterial small subunit ribosomal RNA", at positions 524 to 776 of the family's 1533-position model. The record is from RNAcentral.